Molecule: long non-coding RNA, 306 nt
Organism: Syngnathus acus (greater pipefish)
Lineage: Eukaryota; Metazoa; Chordata; Actinopteri; Syngnathiformes; Syngnathidae
Exons: 3
Source: RefSeq, a predicted model, not a curated record
CUGAUAAAGACGCUCCGGAUUCCCUCUGCAGGCGUCUGUUCACGUUGAACAAAUGUGCCGAGAUGAGGCUGGACCUGCCAAAGGACAAAUAUCAAAGCGACGAAGACUUUAUCGAGGACCAUCUUUGCGCCAUCAGCCCCAGGUGGACCUACGACAGGUGGAUGCGACAAUGGCGCCGCCUGGACUCCACUACAGAACUGCUCCGCUUGACUGACACCUCCAGUUCCCCUCAGGACGACGUCAGCUCCAUUCACAGUUCCGGCAGCACCGAGAGCGAAGGGCGAAACGGGAAGAGUCUGAGAGAAG